UGGGGGAUAUUGCACAAUGGGCGAAAGCCUGAUGCAGCGACGCCGCGUGGGGGAUGAAGGCUUUCGGGUUGUAAACCUCUUUCGCUAUCGAACAAGGCCCGCUUAGGGUGGGUUGAGGGUAGGUGGAGAAGAAGCGCCGGCUAACUACGUGCCAGCAGCCGCGGUAAUACGUAGGGCGCGAGCGUUGUCCGGAAUUAUUGGGCGUAAAGGGCUUGUAGGCGGCUUGUUGCGCCUGCUGUGAAAACGCGGGGCUUAACUUCGCGCGUGCAGUGGGUACGGGCAGGGUUGAGUGUGGUAGGGGUGACUGGAAUUCCAGGUGUAGCGGUGGAAUGCGCAGAUAUCUGGAGGAGCACCGAUGGCGAAGGCAGGUCACUGGGCCAUUACUGACGCUGAGGAGCGAAAGCAUGGGUAGCGAACAGG
This 420-nucleotide ribosomal RNA is filed under the name bacterium. RNAcentral's name for it is "partial 16S ribosomal RNA". It matches the Rfam family "Bacterial small subunit ribosomal RNA", at positions 355 to 776 of the family's 1533-position model. The record is from RNAcentral.